This is a small nucleolar RNA of Arvicanthis niloticus (Nile rat), 130 nucleotides long. RefSeq annotates it as small nucleolar RNA SNORA17. NCBI's taxonomy places the organism in Eukaryota, Metazoa, Chordata, Mammalia, Rodentia, Muridae. The record is from RefSeq and is a predicted model, not a curated record.
CCUGCCUCUGGAGGCCUUGCAGGUGUGGGUGCUAUGUCACAUGUACGUCAGUAGGUGGCAGAGAAGAGAGGCUAUGUCCACGGUUAGUGUUCUGGCCAGUGAACACCUGAAUGAUUAGUAGUCUAACAUU